Molecule: ribosomal RNA, 401 nt
Filed under: Prosentoria arrogans
Lineage: Eukaryota; Metazoa; Arthropoda; Insecta; Phasmatodea; Phasmatidae
Description: partial large subunit ribosomal RNA
Rfam family: Bacterial large subunit ribosomal RNA
Source: RNAcentral
UUAUUUAAUGGCCGCGGUAUUUUGACCGUGCAAAGGUAGCAUAAUCAUUAGUCUAUUAAUUGUGGACUUGUAUGAAUGGCUGGACGAAAUAUUGACUGUCUCGAUUUAAUUUUAUAUAAUUUAAAUUUUGAGUUAAAAUGCUUAAAUAUUUUUGUAGGACGAGAAGACCCUAUAGAUCUUUAUUAUUUAAAUUAUUAUAUUUUUUAGGUUAUAUAUUUAUUAUAUUUUAAAUUGUUUUGUUGGGGUGACAAAAAGAUACAUUUAACUCUUUUUUUUUUUAUACAAUUAUUUUUGUUUUAAUGACCUUUUAUUAUUGUUAUAAGAUAUAGAUACCUUAGGGAUAACAGCGUAAUUUUUUUUGAGAGUUCUUAUCGACAAUAAAGAUUGCGACCUCGAUGUUG